GAGUGAUACGUUUUCGAUCGUAAACUCUGUUGCUACGGCACGAUCAUGUUAUGUUAGUCACUGACCUGACCCUUGACCGUACCUAACCAGAAAGCGACGACUACCUACGUGCAGCUGCCGCGGUAAUACGUAGGUGGCAAGCGUUGUCCGGAUUUAUUGGGCGUACACCGCUCGCUGGUCGGUCUUUUAAGUCUGAUGUGAAAGCCCACGGCUUAACCGUGGAGGGUCAUUGGAAACUGGAGGACGUGAGUGCAGAAGAGGAGAGUGGAAUUCCAUGUGUAGCGGUGAGAUGCGUAGAGAUAUGGAGGAACACCAGUGGCGAAGGCGACUCUCUGGUCUGUAACUGACGCUGAGGAGCGAAAGCGUGGGUAGCGAACAGGAUUAGAUACCCUGGUAGUCCACGCCGUAAACGAUGAGUGCUAGGUGUUAGGGGGUUUCCGCCCCUUAGUGCUGAAGUUAACGCAUUAAGCACUCCGCCUGGGGAGUACGGCCGCAAGGCUGAAACUCAAAAGAAUUGACGGGGACCCGCACAAGCGGUGGAGCAUGUGGUUUAAUUCGAAGCAACGCGAAGAACCUUACCAGGUCUUGACAUCCUUUCGACCUCCCUAGAGAUAGGGAUUUCCCUUCGGGGACGAAAGUGACAGGUGGUGCAUGGUUGUCGUCAGCUCGUGUCGUGAGAUGUUGGGUUAAGUCCCGCAACGAGCGCAACCCUUGAUCUUAGUUGCCAGCAUUAAGUUGGGCACUCUAAGGUGACUGCCGGUGACAAACCGGAGGAAGGUGGGGAUGACGUCAAAUCAUCAUGCCCCUUAUGACCUGGGCUACACACGUGCUACAAUGGAUGGUACAAAGGGCAGCGAAACCGCAAGGUCAAGCAAAUCCCAUAAAACCAUUCUCAGUUCGGAUUGUAGGCUGCAACUCGCCUACAUGAAGCCGGAAUCGCUAGUAAUCGCGGAUCAGCAUGCCGCGGUGAAUACGUUCCCGGGUCUUGUACCACCACCCG
Molecule: ribosomal RNA, 1000 nt
Filed under: Oceanobacillus caeni
Lineage: Bacteria; Bacillati; Bacillota; Bacilli; Caryophanales; Bacillaceae
Description: bacterial SSU rRNA
Rfam family: Bacterial small subunit ribosomal RNA
Source: RNAcentral